GAUGAACGCUGACAGAAUGCUUAACACAUGCAAGUCUACUUGAACUUCGGUUUGGGUGGCGGACGGGUGAGUAACGCGUAAAGAACUUGCCUCACAGUUAGGGACAACAUUUGGAAACGAAUGCUAAUACCUGAUAUUAUGAUUUUAGGGCAUCCUAGGAUUAUGAAAGCUAUAUGUGCUGUGAGAGAGCUUUGCGUCCCAUUAGCUAGUUGGAGAGGUAACGGCUCACCAAGGCGAUGAUGGGUAGCCGGCCUGAGAGGGUGAACGGCCACAAGGGGACUGAGACACGGCCCUUACUCCUACGGGAGGCAGCAGUGGGGAAUAUUGGACAAUGGACCAAAAGUCUGAUCCAGCAAUUCUGUGUGCACGAUGACGUUUUUCGGAAUGUAAAGUGCUUUCAGUUGGGAAGAAAAAAUGACGGUACCAACAGAAGAAGUGACGGCUAAAUACGUG
Molecule: ribosomal RNA, 453 nt
Filed under: uncultured bacterium
Lineage: Bacteria
Description: partial 16S ribosomal RNA
Rfam family: Bacterial small subunit ribosomal RNA
Source: RNAcentral